Molecule: ribosomal RNA, 492 nt
Filed under: uncultured bacterium
Lineage: Bacteria
Description: partial 16S ribosomal RNA
Rfam family: Bacterial small subunit ribosomal RNA
Source: RNAcentral
AGUGAACGCUGGCGGUAGGCCUAACACAUGCAAGUCGAACGGAAGCACAGUAAGCGUUUGCUCUUAAGGGUGGCGAGUGGCGGACGGGUGAGGAAUACAUCGGCAUCUUCUUUUUCGUGGGGGAUAACGUAGGGCAACUUAUGAUAAUACCGCAUAUGAUCUACGGGAGAAAGCAGUGGAUCUUCAGAGCUUUCGCGAUUGUAUGAGACGAUGUCGGAUUAGCUAGUUGGCGGGGUAAAGGCCCACCAAGGCAACGCUCCGUAGCUGAUCUGAGAGGAUGAUCAGCCACACUGGAACUGAGACACGGUCCAGACUCCUACGGGAGGCAGCAGUGGGGAAUAUUGGGCAAUGGGCGCAAGCCUGAUCCAGCCAUACCGCGUGAGUGAAGAAGGCCUUCGGGUUGUAAAGCCCUGUUGUUGGGAAAGAAAAGCAGCAUGUUAAUACCCCGCUGUUCUGACGGUACCCAAAGAAUAAGCACCGGCUAACUUCGUG